Molecule: transfer RNA, 73 nt
Filed under: Pseudomonadota bacterium
Lineage: Bacteria; Pseudomonadati; Pseudomonadota
Also listed under: 3 other names
Description: tRNA-His
Rfam family: tRNA
About the family: Transfer RNA (tRNA) molecules are approximately 80 nucleotides in length. Their secondary structure includes four short double-helical elements and three loops (D, anti-codon, and T loops).
Source: RNAcentral
GUGGGCGUAGCUCAAGUGGUAGAGCGCCAGACUGUGGCUCUGGUGGCUGGGGGUUCGAGUCCCCUCGCCCACC